GGUAGCAUCGAAACAACGUGGUACAAAAAUUUCAUUUUCUUUCACAUCAAAAUCAGCUGUGAACAUCAGUAUGGCCGCUCCAUUAUCUAAAAAAUAAAAUUGUUUUUGUAAAAUCAUACAAAAAAAACAGUAAAGUGCAGUUUUCGUACUUACACCGUCUAAUUGUACAUUUGCGAAUAGUGUUGAUGUUGACUAAAAGUGUUGCGUCAUGACAGAGACCUCUCACUGACAAACAAAUACAAUAAAAAUUGCGACUCGCUUAUUACGGCGACUUAUUGUAAUUUCUAUUUGGCUCGUGUAACGUUUCUGUCGUUUGGUUGAGGGCUGAUGUUAUUACUGAAUCGUCGUCGAAGUUUAUAUAAUGAGUAGUGUUAGAUUGAGUUUCGUAUCCGUGGGAAGGAUAGCAGUGAGAAGAAAUUCACAAAUAUCAGGAGUACAACAAUGUCGUACACUCCGACGGUCGUGCCCUCGAGGGUUCAGCACGUGCUCAGUGAUGUGCAAGAGCCCCACUGAACAGCCGCCCGGCCCGCCGCAUCCACACCCGCCUAAAGAUGCCGCUGGUGCUGCAGGCACUACAUCAGGUGGCAAGAAGUCAGGGUCCGGCAGUGGGGUCCUCACGUGCCCCAAGUGCGGGGACCCGUGCACCCACGUGGAAACCUUCGUCAGCUCCACGCGUUUCGUCAAGUGCGAUAAAUGCCACCACUUCUUCGUGGUGCUAAGCGAAGUGGACACCAAGAAGAGCAUCAAGGAUAAUGCGGAUAAUAAGUCUGGAUUCUACAGAAAACCUCCGCCGCCUCCGAAGAAGAUCUUCGAAUACUUGAACAAGCACGUGGUGGGUCAGGAAUACGCGAAGAAGGUGCUGUCGGUGGCAGUGUACAACCACUACAAGAGGAUCUACAACAAUGUCACCAGCGGCACGCCCACAGACGCACACCAUCCCUUACAUCACACACACAGAGAUCUCCUUCACCUAAGUCACGGCAACAACAGUGGCGGCGCCGAGGUGCUUGAGCGACAGCAUCACGAGCUGAGGCUCGAUAAGAGCAAUGUGCUGCUGCUUGGUCCCACUGGAUGCGGUAAAACUCUCCUAGCGCAAACGAUAGCGCAGUGCCUGGACGUGCCGUUCGCGAUCUGCGACUGCACCACGCUCACGCAGGCCGGCUACGUCGGCGAGGAUAUCGAGAGCGUCAUCGCUAAGCUGCUGCAGGAUGCUAACUUUAACGUUGAGCGAGCACAGACAGGCAUCGUGUUCCUAGACGAGGUGGACAAAAUCGGCGCCGUGCCCGGCAUACACCAGCUCAGGGAUGUCGGAGGCGAGGGAGUCCAACAAGGCAUGCUGAAGAUGCUGGAAGGCGCCGUGGUGUCGGUCCCCGAGCGCAACUCGCGCAAGCUGCGCGGCGACGCCGUGCAAGUCGACACCACCAAUAUAUUGUUUGUUGCCAGCGGCGCUUAUAAUGGUCUCGACAGACUAGUGCAACGUCGCAACAACGAGAAGUACCUCGGGUUCGGCGCGUGGGACCCGCGCUCCGGGCGCCGCGCGGCGCUGGCGGCGGCGGCCAGCGACGCGUCCCCGCUCGACUCCGCCCGCGCAGAGAACGACGAGCGCGACGCCUGGCUGCGCAAGGUGCAGGCCCGCGACCUCAUCGACUUCGGGAUGAUACCCGAGUUCGUGGGCAGAUUCCCCGUGCUAGUACCUUUCCAUAGUCUGAACCAAGAUCUGCUUGUACGGAUACUAACGGAACCUAAAAACGCUAUGGUAUCCCAGUACAAGCUGCUGUUCGCGAUGGACAAGUGCGAGCUGACGUUCAGCACGGAGGCGCUGGCCGCCGUCGCCGCCAUGGCCAUGGAGCGCAAGACCGGCGCCCGCGGCCUGCGGGCCAUCAUGGAAAACCUGCUCCUAGAAGUGAUGUUCGAGAUCCCCGGGUCGGACAUCUCGUCGGUGCACAUCCACGAGGGCUGCGUGUCGCGGUCGGAGCCGCCGCAGCUGUCGCGGCGCCGCGAGCAGCCCGACGCCCGCCCCGCGCCACACGACCUCGACGACUGGCCCUCGGUGCGCCUGCACAACUAAUGUUGUAACGACUGCUGUUUGGCCGAGAUCGCAAAAUGGCUGUUCUAUGUGAUUUAAGACUCAAAGCGUCAGUCUCGCAACCAUCUGUCACUCAUUCGUGCGUGCUGUGAGCGGAAACAAGUAUGGUGGACACAACCCAACAAUCUGCCCACGAUUCGACAGUAACGACCAACGCCCUCUACCUUCCCAACCGAGGUAACACUCGUUACUGACUUAAAAACCCCCCAAGAGGGAUAUAAGUGUUAAAAAAAUACAAAAUAGAAAAAAAAAACAUUGUUUUCGGUUUUUUUUUUGUGAAAUUGUGCUUCAUUGUGACGGCCGGGAGUCCUGUUUGUAAUAGUAUUCCUAACAUCAUUCCUGUAUGAGUUCGGUACCUAUUUUACGGAAAACACGGUUUUCUUGUGUUAAAACCACCCGUAAAGUUCGUACUUAUUAGGUUUGAAUGUAGUUGAUAUCUCGAUGUUACACACAAAUGUAGUUGUAAAUAAAAUAGAUAUAUUAGAAAAGCAUUUGAAUUCAGCCAAGUUCAAUUGUAUGUCUGUUUAAAGCGAUAGGUAAUGUUAGUUAAUUAGGACUCCUGAGUAGACAUGUUUCCAACUAGCAUUUCAUGAAAAAUUCAGUUUUGUUCAAAGUUUUCGACGAUUUACGUAAUAGUCUUUAUACUCUAAAUUCAAAAUCAUGGAUGAAUCAAUCCUCGUAUUUGUAGACUUCGGACCGUACGGUCUUAUUAUCAGUUCCUUACGUUAGUUUAUGUUGGAAAACAUUAACAUGUUGUAUCGGCCACCAUACAACAUACUCUUGUGAUGUAAAUUACUGUAAAUAGUAAUAAAUAAUAAUGAUAAAUAGAAAAAAAAAACUGUUAUUAUUAAGGUUUAUUAAAAAUAAAUAGGGUUCACUAUUGUACAUCCCAGAUAAGUUGUAAGUACGAAAAGUCACAGCAAAUGUUGUUAGUUGAAAAAUAGAUUCUUUUUAUUUCGGCCUGCAAUACUGAGAAGGAAUGACGUUUUGACAUUUUGUUAAUUGUUAUACAUAAUUAUUUUUUUAUUUAUAAAUGGAUCGUUGUGGUGUGAUUAUAAUAAGUGUGAAUAUUUUUUUGUUAAACAACCUCCAAAAAUAUGUGUCUAAUAUAAUUCUGGACUUGUGAUAGGAUAAAUUUUAUGGCAUGUUGAUAUAAUCACAUUGCAACUCGAGUAAAAUAGUAUAAGCCUAUUUUCAAUUUAAAAUAUAAAGAAAACCAAAUA
Molecule: RNA transcript, 3309 nt
Organism: Helicoverpa armigera (cotton bollworm)
Lineage: Eukaryota; Metazoa; Arthropoda; Insecta; Lepidoptera; Noctuidae
Gene: ClpX
Gene name: ATP-dependent Clp protease ATP-binding subunit clpX-like, mitochondrial
Exons: 14
Source: RefSeq, a predicted model, not a curated record